RNAcentral lists this ribosomal RNA (440 nucleotides) under uncultured bacterium. Its description in RNAcentral is "partial 16S ribosomal RNA". It matches the Rfam family "Bacterial small subunit ribosomal RNA", at positions 338 to 795 of the family's 1533-position model. The record is from RNAcentral.
CCUACGGGUGGCAGCAGUGGGGGAUAUUGCACAAUGGGGGAAACCCUGAUGCAGCGACGCCGCGUGUGGGAAGACGGUUCUCUGGAUUUUAAACCACUGUCACCAGGGACCAAAAUGAAGGUACCUGGGGAAGAAGCUCCGGCAAACUACGUGCCAGCAGCCGCGGUAAUACGUAGGGAGCGAGCGUUUUCCGGAAUUACUGGGUGUAAAGGGAGAGUAGGCGGGGAUGCAAGUUGGGUGUCAAAACUACCGGCUCAACUGGGAGUCGCACUGAAAACUGCAGCUCUUGAGUGAAUGAGAGGCAGGCGGAAUUCCUAGUGUAGCGGUGAAAUGCGUAGAUAUUAGGAGGAACACCAGUGGCGAAGGCGGCCUGCUGGACUUUAACUGACGCUGAGGCUCGAAAGUGUGGGGAGCAAACAGGAUUAGAUACCCGUGUAGUC